This 388-nucleotide ribosomal RNA is filed under the name Pseudocalanus sp. RNAcentral's name for it is "partial small subunit ribosomal RNA". It matches the Rfam family "Eukaryotic small subunit ribosomal RNA", at positions 582 to 975 of the family's 1831-position model. Lineage: Eukaryota; Metazoa; Arthropoda; Copepoda; Calanoida; Clausocalanidae. The record is from RNAcentral.
AUUCCAGCUCCAAUAGCGUAUAUUAAAGUUGUUGUGGUUAAAAAGCUCGUAGUUGGAUCUCGGCGGUCUGAGGGCGGUUCGCUUCAGAGCGCUACUACCCUAUAGACCGUAGUUUUGCCAGAGGUCUCAGGGUGCUCUUAACCGAGUGUCUUGCGAUGCUGGCAGGUUUACUUUGAAAAAAUUAGAGUGUUCAAAGCAGGCGUUUGCUUGAAUAUAUUAGCAUGGAAUAAUGGAAUAGGACGCUGGUUCUAUUUUGUUGGUUUUGAGAACCAGAGUAAUGAUUAAUAGGGACAGUUGGGGGCAUUCAUAUUUCAUUGUCAGAGGUGAAAUUCUUGGAUUUAUGAAAGAUGAACUUCUGCGAAAGCAUUUGCCAAGGAUGUUUUCAUUA